Molecule: ribosomal RNA, 251 nt
Filed under: Klebsiella aerogenes
Lineage: Bacteria; Pseudomonadati; Pseudomonadota; Gammaproteobacteria; Enterobacterales; Enterobacteriaceae
Description: partial 23S ribosomal RNA
Rfam family: Bacterial large subunit ribosomal RNA
Source: RNAcentral
AAACAGGUUAAUAUUCCUGUACUUGGUGUUACUGCGAAGGGGGGACGGAGAAGGCUAUGUUAGCCGGGCGACGGUUGUCCCGGUUUAAGCAUGUAGGCGGAGGUUCCAGGUAAAUCCGGUACCUUUUUAACGCUGAGGUGUGAUGACGAGGCACUACGGUGCUGAAGUAACAAAUGCCCUGCUUCCAGGAAAAGCCUCUAAGCAUCAGGUAACAUUGAAUCGUACCCCAAACCGACACAGGUGGUCAGGUA